Molecule: ribosomal RNA, 373 nt
Filed under: uncultured organism
Description: partial 16S ribosomal RNA
Rfam family: Bacterial small subunit ribosomal RNA
Source: RNAcentral
GUAGGUGGCAAGCGUUGUCCGGAAUUAUUGGGCGUAAAGCGCGCGCAGGCGGUUCUUUAAGUCUGAUGUGAAAGCCCACGGCUCAACCGUGGAGGGUCAUUGGAAACUGGAGAACUUGAGUACAGGAGAGGAAAGCGGAAUUCCACGUGUAGCGGUGAAAUGCGUAGAGAUGUGGAGGAACACCAGUGGCGAAGGCGGCUUUCUGGUCUGUAACUGACGCUGAGGCGCGAAAGCGUGGGGAGCAAACAGGGAUUAGAUACCCUGGUAGUCCACGCCGUAAACGAUGAGUGCUAAGUGUUAGGGGGGUUUCCGCCCCCUUAGUGCUGCAGCUAACGCAUUAAGCACUCCGCCUGGGGAUACGGCCGCAAGGCUG